CCUCCGGUAGCUCAGUUGGUAGAGCGGUGGACUGUAGAGGUUGCAUUGAAAUCCAUAGGUCGCUGGUUCGAAUCCGGCUCGGAGGA
Molecule: transfer RNA, 86 nt
Filed under: Soboliphyme baturini
Lineage: Eukaryota; Metazoa; Nematoda; Enoplea; Dioctophymatida; Soboliphymatidae
Rfam family: tRNA
About the family: Transfer RNA (tRNA) molecules are approximately 80 nucleotides in length.
Source: Rfam by way of RNAcentral